GACGAACGCUGGCGGCGUGCCUAAUACAUACAAGUGGGACGCAAGGAAACACACUGUGCUUGCACACCGUGUUUUCUUGAGUCGCGAACGGGUGAGUAACGCGUAGGUAACCUGCCUAUUAGCGGGGGAUAACUAUUGGAAACGAUAGCUAAUACCGCAUAAUAUUAAUUAUUGCAUGAUAAUUGAUUGAAAGAUGCAAGCGCAUCACUAGUAGAUGGACCUGCGUUGUAUUAGCUAGUUGGUAAGGUAAGAGCUUACCAAGGCGACGAUACAUAGCCGACCUGAGAGGGUGAUCGGCCACACUGGGACUGAGACACGGCCCAGACUCCUACGGGAGGCAGCAGUAGGGAAUCUUCGGCAAUGGACGAAAGUCUGACCGAGCAACGCCGCGUGAGUGAAGAAGGUUUUCGGAUCGUAAAGCUCUGUUGUAAGUCAAGAACGUGUGUGAGAGUGGAAAGUUACACAGUGACGGUAGCUACCAGAAAGGG
This 488-nucleotide ribosomal RNA is filed under the name Streptococcus mutans. RNAcentral describes it as "bacterial SSU rRNA". It matches the Rfam family "Bacterial small subunit ribosomal RNA", at positions 28 to 492 of the family's 1533-position model. Lineage: Bacteria; Bacillati; Bacillota; Bacilli; Lactobacillales; Streptococcaceae. The record is from RNAcentral.